RNAcentral lists this transfer RNA (88 nucleotides) under Chitinophagales bacterium. Its description in RNAcentral is "tRNA-Ser". It matches the Rfam family "tRNA". From Rfam's summary of the family: Transfer RNA (tRNA) molecules are approximately 80 nucleotides in length. Lineage: Bacteria; Pseudomonadati; Bacteroidota; Chitinophagia; Chitinophagales. The record is from RNAcentral.
GGAGAGAUGCUGGAGUGGUCGAACAGGCACGCCUGGAAAGUGUGUAAACCCCAAAAGGGUUUCGAGGGUUCGAAUCCCUCUCUCUCCG